This 250-nucleotide ribosomal RNA is filed under the name uncultured bacterium. RNAcentral describes it as "partial 16S ribosomal RNA". It matches the Rfam family "Bacterial small subunit ribosomal RNA", at positions 524 to 773 of the family's 1533-position model. The record is from RNAcentral.
UACUAGGGGUGCAAGCGUUGUCCGGAAUUACUGGGCGUAAAGGGUGCGUAGGCGUCUACGUAAGUUGUUUGUUAAAUCCAUCGGCUUAACCGGUGAUCUGCAAACAAAACUGCAUAGAUAGAGUUUGGAAGAGGAAAGCGGAAUUCCUGGUGUAGCGGUGACAUGCGUAGAUAUCAGGAGGAACACCAAAAGCGAAGGCAGCUUUCUGGUCCAUAACUGACGCUGAAGCACGAAAGCGUGGGGAGCAAAC